AUUGAACGCUGGCGGCAGGCCUAACACAUGCAAGUCGAGCGGAUGAAGGGAGCUUGCUCCUGGAUUCAGCGGCGGGCGGGUGAGUAAUGCCUAGGAAUCUGCCUGGUAGUGGGGGAUAACGUCCGGAAACGGGCGCUAAUACCGCAUACGUCCUGAGGUAGAAAGUGGGGGAUCUUCGGACCUCACGCUAUCAAAUGAGCCUAGGUCGGAUUAGCUAGUUGGUGGGGUAAAGGCCUACCAAGGCGACGAUCCGUAACUGGUCUGAGAGGAUGAUCAGUCACACUGGAACUGAGACACGGUCCAGACUCCUACGGGAGGCAGCAGUGGGGAAUAUUGGACAAAGGGCGAAAGCCUGAUCCAGCCAUGCCGCGUGAGUGAAGAAGGUCUUCGGAUUGUAAAGCACUUUAAGUUGGGAGGAAGGGCAGUAAGUUAAUACCUUGCUGUUUUGACGUUACCAACAGAAUAAGCACCGGCUAACUUCGUG
RNAcentral lists this ribosomal RNA (484 nucleotides) under uncultured bacterium. RNAcentral's name for it is "partial 16S ribosomal RNA". It matches the Rfam family "Bacterial small subunit ribosomal RNA", at positions 30 to 507 of the family's 1533-position model. The record is from RNAcentral.